GCCUGGGUGGCUCACUCGGUUGAGCAUCCGACUUUGGCUCAGGUCAUGAUCUCACGGGUCGUGAGUUCGAGCCUCGUGUCAGGCU
Felis catus (domestic cat) is the source of this 85-nucleotide non-coding RNA. The record is from Rfam. NCBI's taxonomy places the organism in Eukaryota, Metazoa, Chordata, Mammalia, Carnivora, Felidae.